RNAcentral lists this ribosomal RNA (484 nucleotides) under uncultured bacterium. Its description in RNAcentral is "partial 16S ribosomal RNA". It matches the Rfam family "Bacterial small subunit ribosomal RNA", at positions 29 to 507 of the family's 1533-position model. The record is from RNAcentral.
AUUGAACGCUGGCGGCAUGCUUUACACAUGCAAGUCGAACGGCAGCGCGGGCUUCGGCCUGGCGGCGAGUGGCGAACGGGUGAGUAAUACAUCGGAACGUGCCCAGUAGUGGGGGAUAGCUCGGCGAAAGCCGGAUUAAUACCGCAUACGACCUGAGGGUGAAAGCGGGGGAUCUUCGGACCUCGCGCUAUUGGAGCGGCCGAUGGCAGAUUAGCUAGUUGGUGGGGUAAAGGCCUACCAAGGCGACGAUCUGUAGCUGGUCUGAGAGGACGACCAGCCACACUGGGACUGAGACACGGCCCAGACUCCUACGGGAGGCAGCAGUGGGGAAUUUUGGACAAUGGGCGAAAGCCUGAUCCAGCAAUGCCGCGUGUGCGAUGAAGGCCUUCGGGUUGUAAAACACUUUUGGCGGGAACGAAAAGGACUGUGCCAAUACCACGGUUCGAUGACGGUACCCGCAGAAUAAGCACCGGCUAACUACGUG